UAGUUGGUGGGGUAAAAGCUCACCAAGGCGACGAUCUGUAGCGGGUCUGAGAGGAUGAUCCGCCACACUGGAACUGAGACACGGUCCAGACUCCUACGGGAGGCAGCAGUGGGGAAUUUUGGACAAUGGGGGCAACCCUGAUCCAGCCAUGCCGCGUGAGUGAAGAAGGCCUUCGGGUUGUAAAGCUCUUUCAGCCGGGAAGAAAACGCAUUGGUUAAUACCUGAUGUGGAUGACGGUACCGGAAUAAGAAGCACCGGCUAACUACGUGCCAGCAGCCGCGGUAAUACGUAGGGUGCGAGCGUUAAUCGGAAUUACUGGGCGUAAAGCGUGCGCAGGCGGUUUUGUAAGAUAGGCGUGAAAUCCCCGGGCUUAACCUGGGAACUGCGUUUAUGACUGCAAAGCUAGAGUACGGCAGAGGGGGGUGGAAUUCCACGUGUAGCAGUGAAAUGCGUAGAGAUGUGGAGGAACACCAAUGGCGAAGGCAGCCCCCUGGGUCGAUACUGACGCUCAUGCACGAAAGCGUGGGUAGCAAACAGGAUUAGAUACCCUGGUAGUCCACGCCCUAAACGAUGUCAACUAGGUGUUGGGAGGGUAAAACC
Molecule: ribosomal RNA, 600 nt
Filed under: uncultured bacterium
Lineage: Bacteria
Description: bacterial SSU rRNA
Rfam family: Bacterial small subunit ribosomal RNA
Source: RNAcentral